AUUGAACGCUGGCGGCAUGCCUAACACAUGCAAGUCGAACGGCAGCACAGUAGAGAUUUCGGUCUUUAUGGGUGGCGAGUGGCGGACGGGUGAGUAAUGCGUAGGAAUCUGUCCUGGAGAGUAGGAUAACCCGAGGAAACUCGGGCUAAUACUGCAUGAUAUCGAGAGAUCAAAGGCAGGGGACCCUUCGGGGCCUUGCGCUCUAGGAUGAGCCUACGUCGGAUUAGCUAGUUGGGGGGGUAAAGGCCUACCAAGGCGACGAUCCGUAGCUGGGCGGAGAGGAUGACCAGCCACACUGGGACUGAGACACGGCCCAGACUCCUACGGGAGGCAGCAGUGGGGAAUCUUGGACAAUGGGGGAGACCCUGAUCCAGCGAUGCCGCGUGUGUGAAGAAGGCCUUCGGGUUGUAAAGCACUUUAGUUGGGGAAGAAAAGUAAUGAGUGAAUAACUGAUUGCUCUGACGGUACCCAAAGAAUAAGCACCGGCUAACUCUGUGCCAGCCGCCGCCGUAA
Molecule: ribosomal RNA, 513 nt
Filed under: uncultured bacterium
Lineage: Bacteria
Description: partial 16S ribosomal RNA
Rfam family: Bacterial small subunit ribosomal RNA
Source: RNAcentral